RNAcentral lists this ribosomal RNA (382 nucleotides) under uncultured eukaryote. RNAcentral describes it as "partial 18S ribosomal RNA". It matches the Rfam family "Eukaryotic small subunit ribosomal RNA", at positions 592 to 976 of the family's 1831-position model. The record is from RNAcentral.
UGUAAGCGUAUACCAAAGUUGUUGCAGUUAAAACGCUCGUAGUCGGAAUUUGGCAGUUUCGGAUGUGUGCACGUCGUGUGCGCACUUCGCGGGGAUUGCUUUUGUGGUCUUGCGUAGGAUGAGGCACUUUUAUUAGUGAACGUCCUCACGCAACCACUUUUUACUGUGAGAAAAUCAGAGUGCUCAAAGCAGGCAUUUGCCGUGAAUGUAUUAGCAUGGAAUAAUAGAAUAGGACUUGGUUCUAUUUUGUUGGUUUGUUGGGACUGAGUAAUGAUUAAGAGGGACAGUUGGGGGCAUUUGUAUUUCGGUGCUAGAGGUGAAAUUCUUAGAUUACCGAAAGACAAACUGCUGCGAAAGCGUCUGCCAAGGAUGUUUUCAUUGA